AGAGUUUGAUCAUGGCUCAGAUUGAACGNCUGGCGGAAUGCUUUACACACGCAAGUCGAACGGCAGCACGGGGGCAACCCUGGUGGCGAGUGGCGAACGGGUGAGUAAUACAUCGGAACGUGCCCAGUCGUGGGGGAUAACUACGCGAAAGCGUAGCUAAUACCGCACACGAUCUACGGAUGAAAGCGGGGGAUCGCAAGACCUCGCGCGAUUGGAGCGGCCGAUGGCAGAUUAGGUAGUUGGUGGGGUAAAGGCUCACCAAGCCUGCGAUCUGUAGCUGGUCUGAGAGGACGACCAGCCACACUGGGACUGAGACACGGCCCAGACUCCUACGGGAGGCAGCAGUGGGGAAUAUUGGACAAUGGGCGCAAGCCUGAUCCAGCCAUGCCGCGUGUGUGAAGAAGGCCUUCGGGUUGUAAAGCACUUUUGUUGGGGAAGAAACCGGCCGGAUUAAUACUUCGGUUGAAUGACGGUACCCAAAGAAUAAGCACCGGCUAACUUCGUGCCAGCAGCCGCGGUAAUACGAAGGGUGCAAGCGUUACUCGGAAUUACUGGGCGUAAAGCGUGCGUAGGCGGU
RNAcentral lists this ribosomal RNA (577 nucleotides) under uncultured Burkholderiales bacterium. RNAcentral describes it as "bacterial SSU rRNA". It matches the Rfam family "Bacterial small subunit ribosomal RNA", at positions 8 to 579 of the family's 1533-position model. Lineage: Bacteria; Pseudomonadati; Pseudomonadota; Betaproteobacteria; Burkholderiales. The record is from RNAcentral.